UGGCUCAGAACGAACGCUGGCGGCGUGCCUAACACAUGCAAGUCGCACGAGAAAGCGGGAGCAAUCUCGCAAGUACAGUGGCGUACGGGUGAGUAACACGUGGAUCAUCUGCCCUGGAGUGGGGAAUAACGCUGGGAAACCGGCGCUAAUACCGCAUAAGCUCGAGAGAGGAAAGGUGCAAAUCGCCGAGAGAGGAGCCCGCGGCCGAUUAGCCAGUUGGUGAUUUUUAAGCUCACCAAAGCAAAAAUCNNUAGCCGGCCUGAGAGGGGCACACGGCCACACU
Molecule: ribosomal RNA, 283 nt
Filed under: uncultured Acidobacteriota bacterium
Lineage: Bacteria; Pseudomonadati; Acidobacteriota
Description: uncultured Acidobacteria bacterium partial 16S ribosomal RNA
Rfam family: Bacterial small subunit ribosomal RNA
Source: RNAcentral